Long non-coding RNA from Erinaceus europaeus (western European hedgehog), 751 nucleotides. RefSeq lists it as uncharacterized. The record is from RefSeq and is a predicted model, not a curated record. NCBI's taxonomy places the organism in Eukaryota, Metazoa, Chordata, Mammalia, Eulipotyphla, Erinaceidae. The transcript is spliced from 2 exons.
GUGAUGGCGCACCUGGUUGAGUGCACAUGUUAUAGUGCACAAGGACCCAGGUUCGAGCCCCCGGUCCCCACCUGCAGGGGAAAAGCUUUGCAAGUGGUGAAGCAGGGCUGCAGGUGUCUCUCUCUCUCUCCCUCUCUGUCUCCCCCUUCCUCUCAACUUCUGGCUGUCUCUAUCCAAUAAAUAAAUAAAGAUAAUAAAAAUAAAAAUUAAAAAAAAAAAGACUGAGGAAGCCGUUAGAGCACAGUUACUGACAUGGUAGAGAAAGUCUUAUCUCUGGCAGAGGAAUUUCAUGCAUUUAAAUAAUAAGUACCAUGGCUCUACCUGGUACCUCCUACUUGUGUUGAGGGAUGGCUAACAUUGUGCUGGUUGCUGGAACCAGUCACCACAAUCAGGCAGGUGUAGAUAGUAUCCUGGUUACGCAAAGGGAGUCUCACUCACGUCUCAGGCUAUAGAGUCCCAAGUUUAAUCCCCCACACCACCAUAAGCCAGAGAUGAGCAGUGCUCUGGGGAAAAAAAAAUAACACAAACUUGGUGGUUUAAAACUGCAUUCCCCCCCCCCCAGCUCCCCACCUGCAGGGAACUCGCUUCACAGGCAGUGAAGCAGGUCUGCAGGUGUCUCUCUUUUUCUCUCCCUCUCUGUCUUCCCCUCCUCUCUCCAUUUCUCUCUGUCCUAUCAACAACAGUAAUAACUACAAUUAAAGAAGGAAGGGGGGGCAGCUAAAGGGAAUAAAUAAUUAUUUAAAAAACUGCA